UCCACACACACGGAGCUUCAGGACGCGCUAACAUGACACAUGUAGGCCUAAUGUAAUACGACCUCGAAAGCAUAACAUGUACAAAGAAACGACACCAUCAAACCAACCAGGCGUGAUAGGAAGUUGCCACCUACAUGGACUCAGGAGUCAGGAGCCGAAGCCGUCCAGCGACAUAUAAAAAACUAGACAUUCUAAACCUAAACAAGGACAGGUCACACAAAUGUUGGGAGAGGGCGAUGGCGACGACAGAGGGACGGAGAAGGGACCACACAAGGAAAAACACCGACUAGUGGGAACACGAUUCAACUCCAUGGUCAAUGGGAGGACGUGGCUUUAGCCUUACUAUCUCUUGGAUCAAUUCAAGGGAAACGACUGCUAUCAGUCUCGCAUUGAACUCCCAAGGACAGAGUACCACAAAACGAGUAAAAUGACCUCAGAGAUGGAGAGUGGACAACCGCAAGAACAGAACUAUCCUUGUGUUGGAAUUGGCGAGCAAAUAACUUCACAAGGCAAAAGGCACAUUUCAAAAAUUGUUGCCAUGGACCUUUGAAAAUAAUGUUGAAAUGGCUAUAGCUUAAUAAAUUGUGAA
This is a long non-coding RNA of Coregonus clupeaformis (lake whitefish), 589 nucleotides long. RefSeq lists it as uncharacterized. NCBI's taxonomy places the organism in Eukaryota, Metazoa, Chordata, Actinopteri, Salmoniformes, Salmonidae. The record is from RefSeq and is a predicted model, not a curated record. The transcript has 3 exons.